UGGCUCAGAACGAACGUUUGCGGCGGGCUUAACACAUGCAAGUCGAACGAGAAUCCCGUUCGGGGAGGAAAGUGGCGCACGGGUGCGUAACACGUGGAUAACCAACCCAUUGGUUUGGGACAACACCGGGAAACUGGUGCUAAUACCAGAUGUGUCGCAGCUGUCUUCAGGCGGUUGCGAGAAAGGCCCGCAAGGGUCGCCAACGGACGGGUCCGCGUCCCAUCAGCUAGUUGGUGAGGUAAUGGCUCACCAAGGCAAAGACGGGUAGCUGGUCUGAGAGGAUGAUCAGCCACACUGGAACUGAGACACGGUCCAGACUCCUACGGGAGGCAGCAGUGGGGAAUAUUGCGCAAUGGGCGAAAGCCUGACGCAGCCACGCCGCGUGAGCGAUGAAGGUCUUCGGAUCGUAAAGCUCUGUGGAGGGAGAAGAAGAAAGCCGGUGAAGAGCCGGCCCUGACGGUAUCCCCUUAGCAAGCACCGGCUAACUCCGUG
Molecule: ribosomal RNA, 492 nt
Filed under: uncultured bacterium
Lineage: Bacteria
Description: bacterial SSU rRNA
Rfam family: Bacterial small subunit ribosomal RNA
Source: RNAcentral